Molecule: non-coding RNA, 111 nt
Filed under: pig gut metagenome
Description: FMN riboswitch (RFN element)
Rfam family: FMN riboswitch aptamer (RFN element)
About the family: The RFN element is a highly conserved domain that is found frequently in the 5'-untranslated regions of prokaryotic mRNAs that encode for flavin mononucleotide (FMN) biosynthesis and transport proteins. This element is a metabolite-dependent riboswitch that directly binds FMN in the absence of proteins.
Source: RNAcentral
UUUUUCGGGGCGGGGUGCAAGUCCCCACUGGCGGUAAAGUCCGCGACCCGGCAUAGCCGGCUGACCCGUUGCAAGUACGGGACCAACAGUAAAGUCUGGAUGGAAGAAGAA